UACGUAGGGGGCGAGCGUUGUCCGGAUUCAUUGGGCGUAAAGAGCUCGUAGGCGGUUCGGCAAGUCGGGUGUGAAAACUCCAGGCUCAACCUGGAGACGCCACCCGAUACUGCUGUGACUCGAGUCCGGUAGGGGACCACGGAAUUCCUGGUGUAGCGGUGAAAUGCGCAGAUAUCAGGAGGAACACCGGUGGCGAAGGCGGGUCUCUGGGCCGAUACUGACGCUGAGGAGCGAAAGCGUGGGGAGCGAACAGG
Molecule: ribosomal RNA, 254 nt
Filed under: uncultured bacterium
Lineage: Bacteria
Description: partial 16S ribosomal RNA
Rfam family: Bacterial small subunit ribosomal RNA
Source: RNAcentral